Molecule: ribosomal RNA, 600 nt
Filed under: uncultured bacterium
Lineage: Bacteria
Description: bacterial SSU rRNA
Rfam family: Bacterial small subunit ribosomal RNA
Source: RNAcentral
CUUGAGAGCGGCGUACGGGUGCGGAACACGUGUGCAACCUGCCUUUAUCUGGGGGAUAGCCUUUCGAAAGGAAGAUUAAUACCCCAUAAUAUGUUGGAUGGCAUCAUUCGACAUUGAAAACUCCGGUGGAUAGAGAUGGGCACGCGCAAGAUUAGAUAGUUGGUGAGGUAACGGCUCACCAAGUCUACGAUCUUUAGGGGGGCCUGAGAGGGUGAUCCCCCACACUGGUACUGAGACACGGACCAGACUCCUACGGGAGGCAGCAGUGAGGAAUAUUGGACAAUGGGUGAGAGCCUGAUCCAGCCAUCCCGCGUGAAGGACGACUGCCCUAUGGGUUGUAAACUUCUUUUGUAUAGGGAUAAACCUACCCUCGUGAGGGUAGCUGAAGGUACUAUACGAAUAAGCACCGGCUAACUCCGUGCCAGCAGCCGCGGUAAUACGGAGGGUGCAAGCGUUAUCCGGAUUUAUUGGGUUUAAAGGGUCCGUAGGCGGAUCUGUAAGUCAGUGGUGAAAUCUCACAGCUUAACUGUGAAACUGCCAUUGAUACUGCAGGCCUUGAGUGUUGUUGAAGUAGCUGGAAUAAGUAGUGUAGCGGUGAAA